CAGUAGCCGCGGUAAUACGAAGGGGGCUAGCGUUGUUCGGAUUUACUGGGCGUAAAGGGUGCGAAGGCGGAUUGUUAAGUCAGGGGUGAAAUCCCAAGGCUCAACCUUGGAACUGCCUUUGAUACUGGAAGUCUUGAGUAUGGUAGAGGUGAGUGGAAUUCCGAGUGUAGAGGUGAAAUUCGUAGAUAUUCGGAGGAACACCAGUGGCGAAGGCGGCUCACUGGACCAUUACUGACGCUGAGGUGCGAAAGCGUGGGGAGCAAACAGGAUUAGAUACCCCAGUAGUCCCUGUCUCUUAUAC
This 301-nucleotide ribosomal RNA is filed under the name uncultured bacterium. RNAcentral's name for it is "partial 16S ribosomal RNA". It matches the Rfam family "Bacterial small subunit ribosomal RNA", at positions 509 to 807 of the family's 1533-position model. The record is from RNAcentral.